CUAGAUACAAUUUACAGCAAUGUCACCCUCCUGCAGGAACUUUCGCUUGGUCCUCUGGUCCGAGAUUUGUUUUAUUGCUCCCCAAACCCUAGGCAGAUGCUUUUUCACCCCUGAGCUGCGGGAUGGAGUUUUUCAGCCACUCCUGAUGGAGGGACAGCCUCUUCAGGAUCCCUGGAGGAAGCCUAGAAGCUGGUGAGCGAGGCCAUUGCAUCUGGCAUCUUCAAUGACUUGGGGUCUGGAAGUAACAUUGACCUCUGUGUCAUCAGCAGGAGCAAGCUGGACUUUCAAUAAAUAUGCUGCAAUGAAUAAAUAUUUCA
Myotis myotis is the source of this 317-nucleotide long non-coding RNA. RefSeq lists it as uncharacterized. The record is from RefSeq and is a predicted model, not a curated record. NCBI's taxonomy places the organism in Eukaryota, Metazoa, Chordata, Mammalia, Chiroptera, Vespertilionidae. The transcript is spliced from 3 exons.